Molecule: long non-coding RNA, 1086 nt
Filed under: Oryctolagus cuniculus (rabbit)
Lineage: Eukaryota; Metazoa; Chordata; Mammalia; Lagomorpha; Leporidae
Description: lncRNA (ENSOCUG00000030548.1)
Source: RNAcentral
AUGUUGCUCUCCCCUCAGGGAUCUGAGCUGCUUUGGGAUCCUGCUCUUCUGCCAGCCACACAAUACACUGCAGACCUCCUUCUUCACCACCGAAUGCUCUGUGAUUCCCAGCCACACACCUGCCCUUCAAAAAUCCUGAGGACUAUCCUCUCCCCAAUAUGCAGAAUUUAUGUGACUUUAUUAAACCAGUCUAUGUUCAGAAGAUUAAAAAAAGGCCUUUCCUGAUUAUGAUGGCAGCUUUUCUCCAUCAGUCAUACUGUAUCCUUUUGGUCUGACUUAUUUUCAUGCUCUAUGACUACUUAAUUCUCUGACAUUUAUGGGUUCCUGUGUCUACCACAAGUUUUUCUUAUCUGUUUGGAUUCUUCUAGCUUAACUUUAUGAGAUUCACUUUGGCUUUAUUAUUGGUCAUUUUGUAGCCUGAAAUUCCAGCCUCAUAGUUUCAUGCUUCAUAUCAGGACCAGCUUGACACCCGCAGUGCUCUGAAGGAACAGUAAAACUAUCUGUUAUUUCUUGACAACUACUUUUAUAUCAGGCUUGCAUUAUCAUAAAAUUGUAUAAAAUUUCAAUUAUUAAAGUUACUUUUUAUAACUAUUGUGAUUGGCUAUAUUAAAGCAUAAUUUGGGAAUCUUAAUAUUAACUCCUCAACCCUACUAUUUGUUGGUUAUAUAAGCUCUGGUUAAUUAUUCACAUGGGAAGAGAGACAGUCAAAGUGAAAGUAGAAAGAAAUGAGUUGAAAAAUCUUUAUUACAUAAAGAGACAUAUGUCACAUGUCAUAAAAAAAUUCUUGUGGCUGGUGCUGUGGCUCACUCAGCAGAUUAAGUAAUGUCUGCAUCCCAUAAGGGUACAAGUUCAACUCCCAGUUGCUAUGCUGCCAACCCAGUUUCCUAAUGGCCUGGGAAAGCAGCAAAAUAUGGCCCAAGUCCUUGGGCUCCUGCACCCACAUGGGAGACAUGGAAGAAGCUCCUGGCUCCUGACUUUGGCCUAUCCCAGCCCCAGCCAUUUGAAGUUAUUUUGGGAGUGAACCAGCAGUUGGAUCUCACUCUCUCUCUCUUUCUAACUUCCAAAUAAAUAAGUAAAUCCUUGACA